Molecule: signal recognition particle RNA, 98 nt
Filed under: Zetaproteobacteria bacterium
Lineage: Bacteria; Pseudomonadati; Pseudomonadota; Candidatius Mariprofundia
Description: signal recognition particle sRNA small type
Rfam family: Bacterial small signal recognition particle RNA
About the family: The signal recognition particle (SRP) is a universally conserved ribonucleoprotein involved in the co-translational targeting of proteins to membranes.
Source: RNAcentral
GGUCGGGCCCCGCACGGUAAGGUCCCACGAACCCCGUCAGGUCCGGAAGGAAGCAGCGGUAGUGGGAACCCUGCGCGUUGCGGUUUCGUCCGGCUCGG